GGUUAAGCGACUAAGCGUACACGGUGGAUGCCCUGGCAGUCAGAGGCGAUGAAGGACGUGCUAAUCUGCGAUAAGCGUCGGUAAGGUGAUAUGAACCGUUAUAACCGGCGAUUUCCGAAUGGGGAAACCCAGUGUGUUUCGACACACUAUCAUUAACUGAAUCCAUAGGUUAAUGAGGCGAACCGGGGGAACUGAAACAUCUAAGUACCCCGAGGAAAAGAAAUCAACCGAGAUUCCCCCAGUAGCGGCGAGCGAACGGGGAGCAGCCCAGAGCCUGAAUCAGUGUGUGUGUUAGUGGAAGCGUCUGGAAAGGCGCGCGAUACAGGGUGACAGCCCCGUACACAAAAAUGCACAUGCUGUGAGCUCGAUGAGUAGGGCGGGACACGUGGUAUCCUGUCUGAAUAUGGGGGGACCAUCCUCCAAGGCUAAAUACUCCUGACUGACCGAUAGUGAACCAGUACCGUGAGGGAAAGGCGAAAAGAACCCCGGCGAGGGGAGUGAAAAAGAACCUGAAACCGUGUACGUACAAGCAGUGGGAGCACGCUUAGGCGUGUGACUGCGUACCUUUUGUAUAAUGGGUCAGCGACUUAUAUUCUGUAGCAAGGUUAACCGAAUAGGGGAGCCGAAGGGAAACCGAGUCUUAACUGGGCGUUAAGUUGCAGGGUAUAGACCCGAAACCCGGUGAUCUAGCCAUGGGCAGGUUGAAGGUUGGGUAACACUAACUGGAGGACCGAACCGACUAAUGUUGAAAAAUUAGCGGAUGACUUGUGGCUGGGGGUGAAAGGCCAAUCAAACCGGGAGAUAGCUGGUUCUCCCCGAAAGCUAUUUAGGUAGCGCCUCGUGAAUUCAUCUCCGGGGGUAGAGCACUGUUUCGGCAAGGGGGUCAUCCCGACUUACCAACCCGAUGCAAACUGCGAAUACCGGAGAAUGUUAUCACGGGAGACACACGGCGGGUGCUAACGUCCGUCGUGAAGAGGGAAACAACCCAGACCGCCAGCUAAGGUCCCAAAGUCAUGGUUAAGUGGGAAACGAUGUGGGAAGGCCCAGACAGCCAGGAUGUUGGCUUAGAAGCAGCCAUCAUUUAAAGAAAGCGUAAUAGCUCACUGGUCGAGUCGGCCUGCGCGGAAGAUGUAACGGGGCUAAACCAUGCACCGAAGCUGCGGCAGCGACGCUUAUGCGUUGUUGGGUAGGGGAGCGUUCUGUAAGCCUGUGAAGGUGUGCUGUGAGGCAUGCUGGAGGUAUCAGAAGUGCGAAUGCUGACAUAAGUAACGAUAAAGCGGGUGAAAAGCCCGCUCGCCGGAAGACCAAGGGUUCCUGUCCAACGUUAAUCGGGGCAGGGUGAGUCGACCCCUAAGGCGAGGCCGAAAGGCGUAGUCGAUGGGAAACAGGUUAAUAUUCCUGUACUUGGUGUUACUGCGAAGGGGGGACGGAGAAGGCUAUGUUGGUCGGGCGACGGUUGUCCCGGUUUAAGCGUGUAGGCUGGUUUUCCAGGCAAAUCCGGAAAAUCAAGGCUGAGGCGUGAUGACGAGGCACUACGGUGCUGAAGCAACAAAUGCCCUGCUUCCAGGAAAAGCCUCUAAGCAUCAGGUAACAUCAAAUCGUACCCCAAACCGACACAGGUGGUCAGGUAGAGAAUACCAAGGCGCUUGAGAGAACUCGGGUGAAGGAACUAGGCAAAAUGGUGCCGUAACUUCGGGAGAAGGCACGCUGAUAUGUAGGUGAAGUCCCUUGCGGAUGGAGCUGAAAUCAGUCGAAGAUACCAGCUGGCUGCAACUGUUUAUUAAAAACACAGCACUGUGCAAACACGAAAGUGGACGUAUACGGUGUGACGCCUGCCCGGUGCCGGAAGGUUAAUUGAUGGGGUCAGCGCAAGCGAAGCUCUUGAUCGAAGCCCCGGUAAACGGCGGCCGUAACUAUAACGGUCCUAAGGUAGCGAAAUUCCUUGUCGGGUAAGUUCCGACCUGCACGAAUGGCGUAAUGAUGGCCAGGCUGUCUCCACCCGAGACUCAGUGAAAUUGAACUCGCUGUGAAGAUGCAGUGUACCCGCGGCAAGACGGAAAGACCCCGUGAACCUUUACUAUAGCUUGACACUGAACAUUGAGCCUUGAUGUGUAGGAUAGGUGGGAGGCUUUGAAGUGUGGACGCCAGUCUGCAUGGAGCCGACCUUGAAAUACCACCCUUUAAUGUUUGAUGUUCUAACGUUGACCCGUAAUCCGGGUUGCGGACAGUGUCUGGUGGGUAGUUUGACUGGGGCGGUCUCCUCCUAAAGAGUAACGGAGGAGCACGAAGGUUGGCUAAUCCUGGUCGGACAUCAGGAGGUUAGUGCAAUGGCAUAAGCCAGCUUGACUGCGAGCGUGACGGCGCGAGCAGGUGCGAAAGCAGGUCAUAGUGAUCCGGUGGUUCUGAAUGGAAGGGCCAUCGCUCAACGGAUAAAAGGUACUCCGGGGAUAACAGGCUGAUACCGCCCAAGAGUUCAUAUCGACGGCGGUGUUUGGCACCUCGAUGUCGGCUCAUCACAUCCUGGGGCUGAAGUAGGUCCCAAGGGUAUGGCUGUUCGCCAUUUAAAGUGGUACGCGAGCUGGGUUUAGAACGUCGUGAGACAGUUCGGUCCCUAUCUGCCGUGGGCGCUGGAGAACUGAGGGGGGCUGCUCCUAGUACGAGAGGACCGGAGUGGACGCAUCACUGGUGUUCGGGUUGUCAUGCCAAUGGCACUGCCCGGUAGCUAAAUGCGGAAGAGAUAAGUGCUGAAAGCAUCUAAGCACGAAACUUGCCCCGAGAUGAGUUCUCCCUGACCCUUUAAGGGUCCUGAAGGAACGUUGAAGACGACGACGUUGAUAGGCCGGGUGUGUAAGCGCAGCGAUGCGUUGAGCUAACCGGUACUAAUGAACCGUGAGGCUUAACCUU
Molecule: ribosomal RNA, 2904 nt
Filed under: Escherichia coli
Lineage: Bacteria; Pseudomonadati; Pseudomonadota; Gammaproteobacteria; Enterobacterales; Enterobacteriaceae
Description: 23S ribosomal RNA
Rfam family: Bacterial large subunit ribosomal RNA
Source: RNAcentral